GAUGAACGCUGGCGGCGUGCCUAAUACAUGCAAGUCGAGCGAACAGACGAGGAGCUUGCUCCUCUGACGUUAGCGGCGGACGGGUGAGUAACACGUGGAUAACCUACCUAUAAGACUGGGAUAACUUCGGGAAACCGGAGCUAAUACCGGAUAAUAUAUUGAACCGCAUGGUUCAAUAGUGAAAGACGGUUUUGCUGUCACUUAUAGAUGGAUCCGCGCCGCAUUAGCUAGUUGGUAAGGUAACGGCUUACCAAGGCAACGAUGCGUAGCCGACCUGAGAGGGUUAACCGCCACACUGGAACUGGAACCCGGUCCAGACUCCUACGGGAGGCCGCAGUAGGGAAUCUUCCGAAAUGGGCGAAAGCCUGACGGAGCAACGCCGGGGGAGGUAUGAAGGGUUUCGGAUCCUAAAACCCUUUUAUUAGGGAAGAACAAAUGUGUAAGUAACUAUGCACGUCUUGACGGUACCUAAUCAGAAAGCCACGGCUAACUACGUG
RNAcentral lists this ribosomal RNA (497 nucleotides) under uncultured bacterium. RNAcentral describes it as "partial 16S ribosomal RNA". It matches the Rfam family "Bacterial small subunit ribosomal RNA", at positions 28 to 507 of the family's 1533-position model. The record is from RNAcentral.